Lonchura striata (white-rumped munia) is the source of this 2015-nucleotide non-coding RNA. NCBI's taxonomy places the organism in Eukaryota, Metazoa, Chordata, Aves, Passeriformes, Estrildidae. The record is from RefSeq and is a predicted model, not a curated record.
AAUUUAUGCCCUUUUCUUGUAACUUUUCAGCUUCCCACAUACACAACCCCCAUGCUGGAUCUGCUACACUCCAAAACAUGUGAGUGACAACAGGCUUGACAGCCCUUGGGGUGGUGAAAGAUCUGGCGAGAGCAAGCCUCCCCAGCAUGCUCAUCAGCCUUAAGCGAUCAUGUCUGUGAUCAUGCUACUGAAAUAGGGAGGUCCUGGAAGACCAGCAAACUGAGAGAGGACGGAGAAGUCGGAGCCAUGGCUAUGUGUCUAGCAAAAGGCAGCAACAAUAUCUUAGAGUGGAAGAGCCCAGAAGAUGGUAAUAGGCUUUACUGGCCCUGACCUGUCUCCUCUGAGGCAUUCACCCCUGAAAUGAUCUCAUUUAAGCUCAGUUGGGCUAUUUAUUGUCUUUUCAAGGAUCAAAGUGUGGCUUGCUGGUUUAAUAUUCUUUAAGAAAUGUUUAUUGCAUAAAGUAAGUAUUUUAUCAGUGUUUUCACAUCCUAAAAGAAAUCUAUUCUGACUUCCUGGGAUUCCCUCAAAGUCAACAGAAAGGCAAGGUUUCACCCUUAUUUUAUCUCUGUUUAUGAGAAAUGUGAUUAAUCAGGGAUAAGAAGGAUCAGUUUUUGGAAGAAUUAUUAGGAAUGUGCUACAAGGUCACAGAGAUUAAUCUAUUGGUUGAUAGAUUUCUCCUGGAUUUCCUCUUCACAUGAGUUGUUACCUGUGAAGUAGAUAGGAUGUUGCUUUGCCAAAAGGGCUUGUUAGAGUCUUAUAUUUUAUAAAUUGUUAUGGUUUAAUAGUUUGUAACUAGUAACAAAGCCUCCUUUCUUCUUGUAUUUCACCGGACAACAAUUCCUUCUUCUUGAGAAAUGAGAGUGAUGUGAUUGUGAAUCAAAGUGACCUGGCAGGGCCAUGUGAGCAUUCUUUCUAACAGGUUUUGCUGAACAGUUCCUUUCCUUACACACCAUCUUUCCAUAAGAAAGAGCUGCAAAGCUGAUUAUGACCUUUCUGCACUAAAAACAUAAACCCAGCUAAUGUGGUUGUGGGUUCUUUGGGAUCCUGGAGUACCUGCCUGUUUCUCAGUACUUUCUGUGCCUUUUCUUACUCUAAUUUCAUUCAUUGCAAGCAAGGUUGAACUUGUUUGCUAAUAGAAUGGGGUGUCCCUGGAGCUUUCAGCAGUUAGUCUGUUUCCUGAGAAAAAAGUGAACAGAAUUGCCUUCUCCAGUUUCCAGGGUGGCUGAUAUUGGGUCAACCCAAAGAUCAGGUUUAGUAAAGUGGAGUUUGAGCAAGUGUAGCAAGCACCCUGUCAAAACUGAAUUGAUAAUUUUUACUUUUUCCAUGCUGCAAACUCAGAAACUAUAGAGAAUAUUCCAUUGCUGUAAAAAUUCCUUCUUUACUACCCCUACCAUUAAGAAGUAUCCUCUAAGGCCUAAAAUAUUUUAUCUAGCUAUUAUGCCAAUUUAAUCUUAAAUUAACUUCUGAAUUAAAGAUGAUAUGCUUUCUUUAGCUGUACUAAUGAAUAUAUUUUCACAGUAAGGUUGAUUGAUUUAAAACAUUGUCUGCUCCAUUAACAUGUGGCAACAUAUAACAUUAAAACCAAAAGUCUUCAAUACUUGACUUUAUAAUUGAAAAAUAAAAAUGUUUGUCUUACAGGAGAAUAUUUUUGGUCAGUUAACAAAUAUUUCAGAUGUUGAGCCAAAACUCCAUCUGGAAAUAUCUCAGAAUUAAUGUCUGUGAUUUUUUUUUUAAUAUUUUUUGGCAUUUUUUUGGCAAGAACAGAAGUGAUAAUAGAAUUGAGAGUGCCACAGCCAGAUUGCACCUGGGGGAGGGGAGGAGUGAUUUGGUUUCUAUGUUGCUGCUGCUGUGAAUGCUGACAUCCCUGAAAUCUCAUGAGGUUGUUUUGAGUUUGAGGUGCAAUUAAGAUUAAAAUCUAUUUCAUCAACACAAUUUAGUCCUAAAGGUAGUCUCUAAGCCAGAACAGACACGAGGGAUGUUUCAUCCGAGUUGUGCUUUUAUGACAGGGGAGGUAG